CCUCUCUCUCUCACUCUCAGCGGUCCUCUCUCUCUCACUCGUCAAAUCGAAGCUUCUCACUUGAACCCUAGCUCCAAAUCGAAGCUAUAAGGGAUACAAAUUGAAACUUCUCUCGGCUUUCACUAUUGUCCUCCUUUCUCCGGCCUCUGAACUCACGAAUCGAAGCUUGUCUUUCUCUUUCACUAUUGUCAAACCUUCAUCGAUUCAGGUACUCUUCUUUCUUUUUUAUUCCUUUUUAAAUAUUUUCCUUUUUUGUAUAUUCAUUAAUUCUGGAAUACUUGUAGAACUAUUUCUAGUAAUGGAUUCCAGUUAUUACGUGAUUUCUUUGUGUUUGUGGUUUGUUACUUGGUUUUAGCUCUUAGAACUGUUUCUACUGCAAUUGAUCUAGGUUUUUUUCCUCUGCUUGUAUUAUUUUUUGUUACUGUUAUUUUCACAUUUUUUAAAUUUCAUUUAAAGUUUCAAUGAUUUUUUGUCUGGUAUAUAUGGUGGAAAUCUGUUGUUGUUUAUAAUUUGUCUGGUAUAGUUUUUAUUUCAUUUGAAGUUUCAGUGAUUUUUUUGUCUGGUAUAUAGUGGUAAAGUUUAAGUGAUUAAUUUGAAAUCUGAUUCAUUUAAAGUUUCAGUGAUUUUGUUUUGUCUCCUAUAUAGUGGUAAAGUUAACACAUUAUAAGAUUAGGAUAUAUUCCCAUCGGGUACGAAACCAAUACUUUAUUUGGUGUUACAAUGUUUUAACUUAAUUUCACAACAUAGGUAUGGAUCGUAGUUGGAUGAAAGCUAAUCGAUUAAGUGCUGAGUUUGAACAGGGAGUGAUUGAAUUUCUUCGAUUUGCUGAAAUCAAUCUUCCAUCUCCCGAAAGUAAUGCUAAAAAAAACUUUCGACUCCCGAAAGUAAUGAUGAAAAAAAUCUUCCUC
RNAcentral lists this long non-coding RNA (908 nucleotides) under Trifolium pratense (red clover). RNAcentral's name for it is "long non-coding RNA (TPRA_LNC014053)". The record is from RNAcentral. Lineage: Eukaryota; Viridiplantae; Streptophyta; Magnoliopsida; Fabales; Fabaceae.